GGAGAGGUGGCUCAGUGGUUAAGAGCACUGACUGCUCUUCCAGAGGUCCUGAGUUCAAUUCCCAGCUACCACA
RNAcentral lists this transfer RNA (73 nucleotides) under Rattus norvegicus (Norway rat). It matches the Rfam family "tRNA". From Rfam's summary of the family: Transfer RNA (tRNA) molecules are approximately 80 nucleotides in length. The record is from Rfam by way of RNAcentral. Lineage: Eukaryota; Metazoa; Chordata; Mammalia; Rodentia; Muridae.